UACGUAGGGUGCAAGCGUUAAUCGGAAUUACUGGGCGUAAAGCGCACGUAGGCGGCUUUGCAAGUCGGAUGUGAAAUCCCUCGGCUUAACCAAGGAAGUGCAUCCGAAACUGCAGAGCUUGAGUACUUAAGAGGAUCGCGGAAUUCCCGGUGUAGAGGUGAAAUUCGUAGAUAUCGGGAGGAACACCAGUGGCGAAGGCGGCGAUCUGGGAAGAUACUGACGCUGAGGUGCGAAAGCGUGGGGAGCAAACAGG
This 253-nucleotide ribosomal RNA is filed under the name uncultured bacterium. Its description in RNAcentral is "partial 16S ribosomal RNA". It matches the Rfam family "Bacterial small subunit ribosomal RNA", at positions 524 to 776 of the family's 1533-position model. The record is from RNAcentral.